Triticum urartu is the source of this 1137-nucleotide non-coding RNA. NCBI's taxonomy places the organism in Eukaryota, Viridiplantae, Streptophyta, Magnoliopsida, Poales, Poaceae. The record is from RefSeq and is a predicted model, not a curated record.
GUAUGAUUUCGUAGUACUUAAUGAAUUAAUAAAAAUAAUGUUUUAGACAAUUCCUUUGAACUUUUCUUCAAAAGGAUGAAUUUGAUUACCAUAUUCAGAAGAUAGCUAAAUGAUUCAGUUAGUAACUCUAGAUGUAGCAUGUUUUGUAAUAACGGGGAGAUGUUUGUUUGUGAUCAAUGCUGCGGCUAAUUGUUGCAGGAUUCUUUGUCUUCUUGGAGCGUCCCGAUGCAGGCUUAGUCCACGUGAGGAGCUCGCUCGCUGUGGAUCUUACCCUGGUGCCAAUGCCAUGGACAAGGUGCCCUCUCCACCUCUUCUCUGUGUGUUCAAUUUGAAGCUGGUGCUCUGUUUGUAAAGCUCAGGGCGGGGGCAGGAGGUCAUGGUGAACCCAACGCCCAUAGGCGGAGGCAACAGGAGUUGGUGGAGUGGCGGAUGCGGCCGGUGUCGGCAGUUGAGGGAGGCUCGCCGGCCGGAGUGACAUGAGUAGUCCGAUAAUCGGGUCGCAAGAGGCUGCUCUCCUUUGCUGAGGUCGGCUACUAAUUCCAAUUUGUGCGCGGUUGCGUGUGUAAAGUGGCUGCCUUGUGCAGUUGAGGAACAAAACAGAAAAAGGAAAGGAGUCAAUAAAGACCUGACCAACAGGAAAGCACAUGUGGCUAAAUUCUGUUAUAUGGUAUGUGAUAUUCAAAAUCAAGACACUGUAUAUUAAAGAGGUUUCAAAGGAAAUAGAGUGAAUUGGCCAACUUUUUCUAUACAUACGCUGAUAGCCAUCCAGCAUGAUUGAGUCUGCUAUGGGUGUUGGAGGAAAUAGACUUUGGUCCAUCAGAGUCUACUUGGAAGCUGACAAUACAUGCUAUGCCUCUUUGAUAAUAAAGCAGGAAUCAUGGUGGUCGGAUACAAUGCAAUACUUUGAUGGCUGGCCGAAUCCAUCCAUCCCAUGAGUGCAAAGUAUACUUCUAUAAUUUCCUACAACAUACUCCCUCCGUUCUUAAAUGUAAGUCUGUAACACCCACGAUGCGGCUAUAUCUCUCAUGUGUCGGAGUACGACUUAGAUGCAUAACCGCAUUGUAGGCAUGUCGCAAGAGGGGUAAUCUUUACACAUCCCGUGUACUGAAUAUGAAAGGGAUAAAGAGUUGGCUUACA